This 254-nucleotide ribosomal RNA is filed under the name uncultured prokaryote. RNAcentral's name for it is "partial 16S ribosomal RNA". It matches the Rfam family "Bacterial small subunit ribosomal RNA", at positions 524 to 776 of the family's 1533-position model. The record is from RNAcentral.
UACGUAGGGUGCAAGCGUUAUCCGGAAUUAUUGGGCGUAAAGAGAUGCGUAGGCGGUUUAUUAAGUUUUUGGUGAAAUCCCCAGGCUCAACCUGGGAACUGCCAAGAAUACUGGUGAACUAGAGGAAAUCAGGGGGUACUGGAACUCGUGGUGUAGUAGUAAAAUGCGUUGAUAUCACGAGGAACACCAAAGGCGAAGGCAGGUACCUGGGAUUUUCCUGACGCUCAGGCUCGAAAGCGUGGGGAGCGAAACGG